Molecule: transfer RNA, 85 nt
Filed under: Felis catus (domestic cat)
Lineage: Eukaryota; Metazoa; Chordata; Mammalia; Carnivora; Felidae
Also listed under: 4 other names
Rfam family: tRNA
About the family: Transfer RNA (tRNA) molecules are approximately 80 nucleotides in length. Their secondary structure includes four short double-helical elements and three loops (D, anti-codon, and T loops).
Source: Rfam by way of RNAcentral
GCCUGGGUGGUUCAGUUGGUUGAGCAUCUGACUUCAGCUCAGGUCAUGAUCUCACAGGCUGUGAGUUCGAGCCCCGCAUCGGGCU